UUCUGGUGGGAGAAGGGCCCACCCCCACCUCAACGGCUGCCUGCAGUAAUUGGGCUCCGUAGCUCUCUUAACACUUGGAUUUGAUUUUCCAGGGAAGAGCGGCCAAGUUCCUGUGCAUGGGUGCUCCAUUUCCAAGCAUCCCUUCCUUUUGAUUUCACUUCUCUUUAGGCUCUAGCCUAAUGCAGGGAGACAGUGUGGCUUUUGAUGCCAGUAAUCUUGGAACUCUUUGCUCCUCCACUGCAAACUGGGCUCUUUCAGGAAGACUUUUGUGGGCUCCGAGUACAGGAAGCUUUUUCCCUGAAGAGUUGUGAACAUCUUUCCUUAUCAAAAGAAAAUCAUCUCAUAAUUGUCGUCAGUCACUUAAUAAAACUUAAGCAUGCUUAUCACAGCUCCCUGUUCAUAUCCUUUAUGGCACAAUGUUUAGUCUUCAUUCAGGAACUGAGCUGUGUGUGCAUUUGUGGUCUCUCUCCCCGGGGGUGUGCAGGCUGCAUGAGAGUGUGGCUCUUGUCCGCCCACGUGGCUGUAGCGUCACUGGCACGAAGCACACUGCCGGACGCAGAGAGGCACCAUGUUCUUCCUCUAUUGUUGCAUAACAAACUACUGUGGGUUUAGUGGACACACACAGCAUCCACUUACUAUUCCACGGUGCUGUAGGUAGGUCAGAAGUUCAGAUGGGUGCAAUGGGGCUUUCUACUUUGGAUCUCAUGAAAGCAAAAUCAAGGUAGACCUGGCUGGACUUUAACGGGAAGGCUCUAGGGAUGUAUGCACUCCAAGCUCGCUCAGCUUAUUGGCAGAUUUCAGUUGCUUGUGGUUCUGGAACCGAGGUUGCUGUCUCCUUGCUGGCGGUGAGCUGGCGGUCCUCUCACAUCUGAAAGGACUCUCGCAGGUCUUCACCCCUUGGCCUCUCCACCUCAGCGCAGUGACUCUUACGAUAUUUCACAAUUCACUCACUUUCU
Molecule: long non-coding RNA, 956 nt
Filed under: Chinchilla lanigera (long-tailed chinchilla)
Lineage: Eukaryota; Metazoa; Chordata; Mammalia; Rodentia; Chinchillidae
Description: lncRNA (ENSCLAG00000024543.1)
Source: RNAcentral